RNAcentral lists this ribosomal RNA (119 nucleotides) under Oryza sativa Indica Group (long-grained rice). Lineage: Eukaryota; Viridiplantae; Streptophyta; Magnoliopsida; Poales; Poaceae. The record is from RNAcentral.
GGAUGCGAUCAUACCAGCACUAAAGCACCGGAUCCCAUCAGAACUCCGAAGUUAAGCGUGCUUGGGCGAGAGUAGUACUAGGAUGGGAGACCUCCUGGGAAGUCCUCGUGUUGCAUCCC